GAGGGUAUAGCUCAGUGGUAAAGUGCGUGCUUAGCAUGCACGAGGUCCUGGGUUCAAUCCCCAGUACUUCCA
RNAcentral lists this transfer RNA (72 nucleotides) under Camelus bactrianus (Bactrian camel). It matches the Rfam family "tRNA". Rfam says of the family: Transfer RNA (tRNA) molecules are approximately 80 nucleotides in length. Their secondary structure includes four short double-helical elements and three loops (D, anti-codon, and T loops). RNAcentral also lists the same sequence under 1 other name. Lineage: Eukaryota; Metazoa; Chordata; Mammalia; Artiodactyla; Camelidae. The record is from Rfam by way of RNAcentral.